UAGAAUGGAGAAAUUUAAGCC
This 21-nucleotide non-coding RNA is filed under the name Caenorhabditis elegans. The record is from RNAcentral. Lineage: Eukaryota; Metazoa; Nematoda; Chromadorea; Rhabditida; Rhabditidae.